This 227-nucleotide long non-coding RNA is filed under the name Prunus persica (peach). Its description in RNAcentral is "long non-coding RNA (PPER_LNC005227)". The record is from RNAcentral. Lineage: Eukaryota; Viridiplantae; Streptophyta; Magnoliopsida; Rosales; Rosaceae.
GGCGUGCAAUAUAUAUUCAACGUUCGUUUCAUUAAAAAAAAGGACGUGGUUAAUUAUGUCACUAUGUCUAGAGAUCUAGCUGCUUGACUUUGUAAUUUCAUACCAUGUCGGUGUUGAUUACAUAAUGACGUGGUUGUCCUUUUAAAAGUCGCUUGUUUAACCUACCUUGAUGUAUAUAUGCUCGGAGACGUCAGUUGUUUUAGACUAGCCGACGUGCAGAACAUCUG